RNA transcript from Lutra lutra (Eurasian river otter), 2232 nucleotides. It is a transcript of the gene named alpha-L-iduronidase, with no coding region annotated. The record is from RefSeq and is a predicted model, not a curated record. The transcript has 14 exons. Lineage: Eukaryota; Metazoa; Chordata; Mammalia; Carnivora; Mustelidae.
GAACCCGCCGCGGCAGUCACGUGGCGUGCGACCCGGAGGUGGAACGGGUCGGCGCCGCGCAGCCCUCGGCUCCCGGAGCACAGACGACCCGCCGGACCUGCGGCGACCGUGCGUCCCCGCGCCCCCGCGCCCACCCGACCAUGUGGGCACCGCGCUCCCGCACCCCGCUGCUCACGCUGCUGGCCGCGCUGCUGGCCACGCCCCGGGCCCUGGCAGAGGCCCCGCACCUCCUGCUUGUGGACGCGGCCCGCGUUCUGCGGCCUCUGCGGCCCUUCUGGAGGAGCACCGGCUUCUGCCCCCCACUGCCUCACAGCCAGGCUGACCAGUAUGACCUCAGCUGGGACCAGCAGCUUAACCUGGCCUAUGUGGGUGCUGUCCCUCAUGGUGGCAUUGAGCAGGUCCGGACCCACUGGCUGCUGGAGCUCAUUACAGCCCGGGGAUCAGCUGGGCAAGGUCUGAGCUACAACUUCACCCAUCUGGAUCGGUACCUGGAUCUUCUCAGGGAGAACCAGCUCCUCCCAGGCUUUGAACUGAUGGGCAGCCCCUCCAAACGCUUCACCAACUUCGAGGACAAGGAGCAGGUGUUUGAGUGGAAGGAGCUGGUCUCUCUUGUGGCCAGGAGAUACAUUGAUCGGUAUGGACUCUCACAUGUUUCCAAGUGGAAUUUCGAGACAUGGAAUGAGCCAGACCACCACGACUUUGACAACGUGUCCAUGACCAUGCAAGGCUUCCUGAACUACUAUGACGCCUGCUCCGAGGGUCUGCGGGCUGCCAGCCCAGCUCUGCGCCUCGGAGGCCCCGGGGACUCCUUCCACCCCUGGCCCCGAUCCCCGCUCUGCUGGGGCCUCCUGGGGCACUGUCACAACGGCACCAACUUCUUCACGGGUGAGUCGGGCGUGCGGCUGGACUACAUCUCCCUCCACAAAAAGGGCGCGGGCAGUUCCAUCUACAUCCUGGAGCAGGAGAAGGCCACGGUGCAACAGAUAAAACAGCUCUUCCCCAAGUUUGCCGACACCCCCAUUUACAACGAUGAAGCAGACCCCCUGGUGGGCUGGUCCCUGCCGCAGCCUUGGAGGGCGGACGUGACCUACGCGGCCAUGGUGGUGAAGGUCAUCGCGCAGCACCAGAACCUGCUGCUGGCCAACACCAGCUCGGCCAUGCGCUAUGCGCUCCUGAGCAACGACAACGCCUUCUUGAGUUACCACCCGCACUUCUUCACGCAGCGCACGCUCACUGCGCGCUUCCAGGUCAACAACACGCGGCCGCCGCACGUGCAGCUCCUGCGCAAGCCGGUGCUCACCGCCAUGGCGCUGCUGGCCCUACUGGACCGCGAGCAGCUCUGGGCUGAGGUGUCGCAAGCCGGGACCGUGCUGGACAGCAACCACACAGUGGGCGUGCUAGCCAGCGCCCACAGCCCCAGUGGCCCCCUUGACGCCUGGCGCGCCACGGUGCUGGUCUAUGCGAGUGACGACACGCGCACCCACGCCAACCGCAGCGUCGCCUUGACCCUGCGCCUGAGUGGGGUGCCCCCCGGCCCAGGGCUUGUCUACGUCAUGCUGUACUUGGACAACCAGCUCUGCAGCCCACAUGGCGAAUGGCAGCGUCUGGGCCAGCCGGUCUUCCCCUCCACAGAGGAGUUCCGGCGCAUGCGCGCAGCUGAGGACCCGGUGGCUGUGGCGCCACAACUCUUUCCUGACAGCGGCCGCCUGACCCUUCGCCGGGAGCUCCAGCUGCCCUCGCUCCUGCUGGUGCACGUGUGCGCGCGCCCCGAGAAGCCACCAGGCCAGGUGACCCGGCUCCGUGCUCUGCCUUUGACCAGUGGGCAGGUGCUUUUGGUCUGGUCGGAUGAGCGCGUGGGCUCCAAGUGCGUGCCUGUGGACCUAUGAGAUCCAGUUCUCCACGGAUGGUGAGGUGUACGCCCCUGUCAGCAGCAAGCCGUCGACCUUCAACCUCUUCGUGUUCAGCCCAGAUGCCGCUGUCACCUCUGGCUUCUACCAGGUUCGAGCCGUGGACUACUGGGCCCGACCAGGCCCUUUCUCAAACCCUGUGCGCUACGUGGAGGUCCCUGCCCUAUGAAGCCCUCCCCACCCGGUGACUGUGAACCUGUGCUGACCCGGCAGCCUGGGGGGCCAGGAACUGAGAUGGGUUGGACCACCAGUGGCCCAUCCAUCAGCUGUAUCUGUCCUCUCCUGUCCUUUUGCUCAUCCACUUAAAGUGCCUUUCCACUGGUCA